UACGUAGGGGGCAAGCGUUAUCCGGAUUUAUUGGGUUUAAAGGGUGCGCAGGCGGCGAGUUAAGUCAGCGGUAAAAUUUCGGGGCUCAACCCCGACAAGCCGUUGAAACUGGCUUGCUAGAGUGGGCGAGAAGUAUGCGGAAUGCGCGGUGUAGCGGUGAAAUGCAUAGAUAUCGCGCAGAACUCCGAUUGCGAAGGCAGCAUGCCGGCUCCACACUGACGCUGAGGCACGAAAGCGUGGGUAUCGAACAGG
Molecule: ribosomal RNA, 252 nt
Filed under: uncultured Bacteroidales bacterium
Lineage: Bacteria; Pseudomonadati; Bacteroidota; Bacteroidia; Bacteroidales
Description: partial 16S ribosomal RNA
Rfam family: Bacterial small subunit ribosomal RNA
Source: RNAcentral